This 460-nucleotide ribosomal RNA is filed under the name uncultured bacterium. RNAcentral describes it as "partial 16S ribosomal RNA". It matches the Rfam family "Bacterial small subunit ribosomal RNA", at positions 338 to 795 of the family's 1533-position model. The record is from RNAcentral.
CCUACGGGAGGCAGCAGUGAGGAAUAUUGGUCAAUGGACGAGAGUCUGAACCAGCCAAGUAGCGUGAAGGAUGACUGCCCUAUGGGUUGUAAACUUCUUUUAUAAAGGAAUAAAACGAGGCACGUGUGCCUUUUUUCAUGUUCUUUAUUAAUAAGGAUCGGCUAACUCCGUUCCAGCAGCCGGGGUAAUACGGAGGAUCCGAGCGUUAUCCGGAUUUAUUGGGUUUAAAGGGAGCGUAGAUGGGUUGUUAAGUCAGUUGUGAAAGUUUGCGGCUCAACCGUAAAAUUGCAAUUGAUACUGGCAGUCUUGAGUACAGUUGAGGUAGGCGGAAUUCGUGGUGUAGCGGUGAAAUGCUUAGAUAUCACGAAGAACCCCGAUUGCGAAGGCAGCUUACUAAACUGUGACUGACAUUGAUGCUCGAAAGUGUGGGUAUCAAACAGGAUUAGAUACCCUUGUAGUC